This is a long non-coding RNA of Astatotilapia calliptera (eastern happy), 2770 nucleotides long. The record is from Ensembl. Lineage: Eukaryota; Metazoa; Chordata; Actinopteri; Cichliformes; Cichlidae.
GUGUGUGUGUGUGUGUGUGUGUGUGUGUGUGUGUGUGUGUGUGUGUGUGUGUGUGUGUGUGUGUGUGACGCGCGGCGGACACUAAAGCGGUGGCGCCAGAAUGUCACGCUAAAAAGAAAGAUUCUUUAAAAUACAAGGGGGAGCGAGCGAGUCAGAUACCACGGGCACAGAGAGUAAGCAGGUCUGAUCAGAAACAGUUUAUUACUGGGCCAGAGAGCACAAAUAAAAACACCCUUAAAAUGUACGUAAUAAAAUGUUUGCUCUCUACUAAAAACAAUUCUAAAACCCAUAAAACUACCAUUUUCUACAUUCACUAAACCCCCCCCCGCUAUAAUUAUGCCACAUGUUCAUUAUGGGUCCAUCAGCAGGCCAGGAAUUCCUCCUUUAGAGCAGAGUCCACGCCAGCCCCGUCUUCGGCAGGCAAGAAAGAGCCACCCAUCUUCUUGUCCUUCCGCUGGCCCAUCACUUCCCAGUCCGGCUUGCGUUCUGCACCCGAAUCCAUGAUGCGACCACCGCCACAGCUCCCCUUGUGUCGGUGUCCUGUAACAUAACAAAUAGGGGCCAGAACAAUGGUCCCAGAAGCGGCCCUGGCUCAUGGCCAUGGUGACCCUCUCCCAAUCCAGCUGCACCCAGUAAACAACAGUAGAGACCCUACUCACAAAUGCAGGCAGAGGUAAACCUCUGCCCUGCUGCCAAUCACACGCGUUGUCUCUUACUGUUGCCGUUCCAUGAGGUCAGGACUUGGUCGCCGCAUCACACUGGCCAUCUUGCAUUAACCUUCCAGUCUGGGGCCUCUCUCUUCAGUGCUCAGCUAGCCUGUUUUUAAAAGGUCUUUACACAGCUGAUGGGCCACCUCUGGACACACCCCUGCCUCAGCAGGUGGUCCCUAUCAGCUAAUUUGUCCCAUGUGCAGCCAGUCCACAGUGGAUAAAAACCAUGUCACAUACACUGAAAAAAAGGGACUGGCCAUCUCUUGGAUUUAUGUGAAGUAAGUCAAUAAGAUAGCAACGUUAAAUCUCGUGAAACCACGCGUGAUUUCAUCUCGCGGGCUUUGGAUCGUGGUUUAAAAAAGGCAUCCAUCUCAGUCAAGUCGAGCAGCCAACUCUACGUUUUUGAGACGACCUCUAUUCUGCAUUUCACCAGGAGUCAGCUGAUGGAUUGUGGGUUCAAGGUGUUAUGAUAAAAUGCAGCAUUCCAGUGCAUCCCAACCAUGCCUUUACAGUCAAGGUUUCUGACGGAGCUGAGUUUCUCUCUGACAGUCUGCUGAAAGUGUUUGCAAAGUGAUCGGGGGAACAGGGCACAAAGCUAAAGGAUGUAGCUGCCAUUAUGACAUCAAGGAUGACAUUAAUGCUCGGAGUCCCUCAUCAAAGUGCUCCGCAUCUGUGUGAAAGACAAUUGCAACAUCUUGGUGCAGGAGUUCAUGGACUUGACUGAGGCCACUGCACAGAUUGAGAAAACCACAAUGAACAUCUGUCUCCAGAGAUGCGGCAGGCAAUGACUUUUCUGAUGUUGUUCUUCAAGAUCUGGAUAACGUGACCUUUGCAGUAGCCAUGCUGUUUGGACCUUUUUUAUUCCUUCAACAUGAGUUACCCAUCACAACUCUGCUACACUUUUGAGGUGAUUCAAUGGGUGGUAAUGGAGUUGGAUGCAACUCAGCUCUCAAGAAAAGCUCACAACUAAGACAAAACUGCUCCUGCAACGAAGCUCACUGUUAUGCAUGUGAGGUGACCAGCUCUAGGUGAGAGGACAUUUAAAUCUCACACUUGUUCUGCUGCAUUUUUGAAGCUCAAUUCCAGGAACGGAUCGCAGGGUUCAUUUUUAUAUACUCUGCAACUGCCAUGAGGACGAGCUGUUUUUUGUUGUUGUUUGUUUUUCCUUUUGCUCUGUACAAGUUCUGUUUGUCUGUUUGGCAGCAUUUUUAAAUUUCUCUUUUUUCUUUCUUUUACUAGUGAAGAGAUGUAGCGUGAACAGUUAUGCAGUCUAAAUAUCCCAUAUGGGCCGUGUGAAAUGUUAUUUUCAGUUUCAUUCAGUUGAAGUAAAGAACGUUGAAUAUUUCUAAGUGUGCUGUUUUGAACCAAGAUGUCACAGUAUGAUCAGUGCUGUAAUUUUUGACAGUCACUGUAUCAAUGUUAUUUUUGCGUCUCUUGAAUAAAGUUUUUGACCUGCAAGUGCUAAUUUCUUUAGUUAUUGGGGUAAAAUGGGUAGUGUUAAUAGGAAGGUGUUUGCCAAUUCAGUAACCUAAUUUAAUGUUAAUGGAAACUAACAUUACCUCAAAUUGUUUAGUUAUAAUUGUUGUUUAACUGAAUCUUGAUGUCAGAGGCCUUAAAUAGAAUGUUUUGAUUUGUUCUUUCCCAACAUUUUUCAAAAGAAACAGUCUAAUUUCUUUGCUGCGAUUGAUUCCAGAGAACACGGAAGAACUGACAUUAUUUAACUGUUGAUUUAUAUAGAUUCAGUAGAGGAGUAAUGUCAGUUUAAUUCUUUACCUACUGCAGUGAAAUUAGACAUGUUGUUUUGAAAGGUUACUGGUGGAUGCCAGCAACCAUCUUGGAAGAGAACAAUACAAUCUGUUAUAAGGCCUCCAUUUGAAAAUUGUGUAUUUGAUACUAGAAUAUAAUAGCAAAAUGUAAUUUGAAGAUAACAUAUAGUAUUUAAGUGACCAAGUAGUAUUGGGUAAAAGUUAUUGAAUCGUGUUGGGAUAACGUGAAAAAAUUGUGAAGGAUUAAAAUAUUCCAAGAGCUCAAAUUACUUCAUCAAAACAUGUUUAAGUCAC